UACGGAGGGCGCAAGCGUUGUUCGGAAUCACUGGGCGUAAAGCGCGUGCAGGCGGCUUGGUAAGUCGGGUGUGAAAUCCCGGAGCUCAACUCCGGAACUGCACCCGAUACUGCCUCGCUAGAGUCCCGGAGAGGAUGGCGGAAUUUCCGGUGUAGAGGUGAAAUUCGUAGAUAUCGGAAGGAACACCAGCGGCGAAGGCGGCCAUCUGGACGGUGACUGACGCUCAGACGCGAAAGCGUGGGGAGCAAACAGG
This 253-nucleotide ribosomal RNA is filed under the name uncultured bacterium. RNAcentral describes it as "partial 16S ribosomal RNA". It matches the Rfam family "Bacterial small subunit ribosomal RNA", at positions 524 to 776 of the family's 1533-position model. The record is from RNAcentral.